CAUAAACUAUUUUAUUUAGUUUGGGUUUGGAAAAACCCAUGGGUUGUGGGUUUAUGCCCCCCCAUUGUAAUUACACAAAAAAACUCAUUCAAAUUUUUACGUAUUCAUUUUUAUUUCACAAAUAUCCCUCACUUUUAUGUCACAUUAAACCCGAAAGUGAUUUCUUUUUUUUUUUUACUUUCCGAAAGUGAUUUCUUUUUCUUUUUCUUUUUUCUUUUUAACUUCUUCGUCUAAAAGUCUAAAAG
This 245-nucleotide long non-coding RNA is filed under the name Citrus sinensis (sweet orange). RNAcentral's name for it is "long non-coding RNA (CSIN_LNC004888)". Lineage: Eukaryota; Viridiplantae; Streptophyta; Magnoliopsida; Sapindales; Rutaceae. The record is from RNAcentral.